UGGGGAAUAUUGGACAAUGGGCGAAAGCCUGAUCCAGCCAUGCCGCGUGUGUGAAGAAGGUCUUCGGAUUGUAAAGCACUCUAAGUUGGGAGGAAGGGCAGUAAGCGAAUACCUUGCUGUUUUGACGUUACCGACAGAAUAAGCACCGGCUAACUCUGUGCCAGCAGCCGCGGUAAUACAGAGGGUGCAAGCGUUAAUCGGAAUUACUGGGCGUAAAGCGCGCGUAGGUGGUUCGUUAAGUUGAAUGUGAAAGCCCCGGGCUCAACCUGGGAACUGCAUCCAAAACUGGCGGGCUAGAGUAGGGCAGAGGGUGGUGGAAUUUCCUGUGUAGCGGUGAAAUGCGUAGAUAUAGGAAGGAACACCAGUGGCGAAGGCGACCACCUGGGCUCAUACUGACACUGAGGUGCGAAAGCGUGGGGAGCAAACAGG
RNAcentral lists this ribosomal RNA (429 nucleotides) under Pseudomonadota bacterium. RNAcentral's name for it is "Proteobacteria bacterium partial 16S ribosomal RNA". It matches the Rfam family "Bacterial small subunit ribosomal RNA", at positions 355 to 776 of the family's 1533-position model. Lineage: Bacteria; Pseudomonadati; Pseudomonadota. The record is from RNAcentral.